Molecule: unclassified non-coding RNA, 889 nt
Filed under: Chaetoceros sp. CCK09
Lineage: Eukaryota; Bacillariophyta; Thalassiosirophyceae; Chaetocerotales; Chaetocerotaceae
Description: partial contains SSU rRNA, ITS1, 5.8S rRNA, ITS2 and LSU rRNA
Rfam family: 5.8S ribosomal RNA (bases 362-516)
Source: RNAcentral
GGAAGUAAAAGUCGUAACAAGGUUUCCGUAGGUGAACCUGCGGAAGGAUCAUUAACACACCGAUCUAAGAUCUCAACUCCCGAGAAGGAGCAGUGCCUGCAGUUGUGACCUCUUGGCCAGUCCAGGAGGCACGGCAGCGAGUCAGGCACUGCGACUAUGCUUACAUAAUAACCCUGGCAAUGGAGACAAACUGGUACUUUCCAGUGAGUCUCUCCUGCCAAAAACACGAAAGCGAAGAGGAUGAGGCACAAUGUGCCACCGUCCGCUUCCUUCCAUACAAAACUAACAUACCUAUAACCUGAAAUGAAAGUGGGGCAUGACACGAUCGUGCCCCAUAUCAUACUAUCAACAAUGUAAAUACAACUUUCAGCGAUGGAUGUCUAGGCUCCCACAACGAUGAAGAACGCAGCGAAAUGCGAUACGUAAUGCGAAUUGCAGGACUUCGUGAAUCAUCAAAAUUUUGAACGCACAUUGCGCUUCCGGGAAAUGCCCGGUAGCAUGCCUGGUUGAGUGUUCGUGGACCCCCCUUGGCCGCCAUGCCACUUACGAGAGUAAGUUAGCAGCAGGCGAGCCAGAGUAUGGACUGGUAUGCGAUGUAGAUUGCAUGCCUGGCCAAAGUGAGCAUUUGCCGCCAGUCCUCUGGAUGGCAUUUUGCGAGUGGAUCUGCAGAAUGUCUUGUGCCUGAGGAGACAAUGGUCUGUGCAUCUGGUAACUCUGCGCCGAAUGCGUGCGUGUGUUAGUAGAGGUAGAUGUCUGUCGUCUCUGAGCAGGAUGCUCGAGCAGUUUGUCCAAUCACCGUGAAGAGGAGGGAGGCGAGUCCUCUCUCAUCUUUGUCCAUUCCAAUUUCGAAUCUCAGCUUGGUAGGGAUACCCGCUGAAUUUAAGCAUAU